This 229-nucleotide ribosomal RNA is filed under the name uncultured bacterium. RNAcentral describes it as "partial 16S ribosomal RNA". It matches the Rfam family "Bacterial small subunit ribosomal RNA", at positions 568 to 796 of the family's 1533-position model. The record is from RNAcentral.
UGCGUAGGCGGGCCGGUCAGUCGGAUGUGAAACCUCACGGCUUAACCGUGAGCGGCCAUUCGAAACUGCCGGUCUUGAGUACGGGAGAGGAAAGUGGAAUUCCUGGUGUAGCGGUGAAAUGCGUAGAUAUCAGGAGGAACACCGGUGGCGAAGGCGGCUUUCUGGACCGAUACUGACGCUGAGGCACGAAGGCCGGGGGAGCAAACAGGAUUAGAUACCCUGGUAGUCC